GACGGAGGGGGCGAGCGUUGUUCGGAUUUACUGGGCGUAAAGGGCGCGCAGGCGGCUCAUUUUGUCAGGCGUGAAAGCCCCGGGCUUAACCUGGGAACUGCGUUUGAUACGGAUGGGCUAGAGUUCGGGAGAGGAGAGUGGAAUUCCCAGUGUAGAGGUGAAAUUCGUAGAUAUUCGCAAGAACACCAGUGGCGAAGGCGGCUCACUGGCCCGGUACUGACGCUGAGGUGCGAAAGCGUGGGGAGCAAACAGG
RNAcentral lists this ribosomal RNA (253 nucleotides) under uncultured bacterium. RNAcentral's name for it is "partial 16S ribosomal RNA". It matches the Rfam family "Bacterial small subunit ribosomal RNA", at positions 524 to 776 of the family's 1533-position model. The record is from RNAcentral.